RNAcentral lists this ribosomal RNA (253 nucleotides) under uncultured bacterium. RNAcentral describes it as "partial 16S ribosomal RNA". It matches the Rfam family "Bacterial small subunit ribosomal RNA", at positions 524 to 776 of the family's 1533-position model. The record is from RNAcentral.
UACGUAGGGGGCAAGCGUUGUCCGGAUUUAUUGGGCGUAAAGAGCUCGUAGGCGGCUUGUCGCGUCGACUGUGAAAGCCCGCGGCUCAACCGCGGGUCUGCAGUCGAUACGGGCAGGCUAGAGUUCGGUAGGGGAGACUGGAAUUCCUGGUGUAGCGGUGAAAUGCGCAGAUAUCAGGAGGAACACCGAUGGCGAAGGCAGGUCUCUGGGCCGAUACUGACGCUGAGGAGCGAAAGCGUGGGGAGCGAACAGG